Non-coding RNA from Erythranthe guttata (spotted monkey flower), 169 nucleotides. Lineage: Eukaryota; Viridiplantae; Streptophyta; Magnoliopsida; Lamiales; Phrymaceae. The record is from RefSeq and is a predicted model, not a curated record.
GUUAUUAAGAAAGUGAUAAGCAUUGCAAUUGCUAAAUAUGUAGCUAAGGAAGGUUUGAAAGUUGGUAAAGAUUUACAAAUCUUUAAAUGGAAUUCAGAUAACAAGUUGAGUGGGAAACAUAAAGACAAAAGCCGAAGCAUGAUAAUUCUUCAGUUGUGAGUUUCUUGCU